Molecule: ribosomal RNA, 520 nt
Filed under: uncultured Glomus
Lineage: Eukaryota; Fungi; Glomeromycota; Glomeromycetes; Glomerales; Glomeraceae
Description: SSU rRNA
Rfam family: Eukaryotic small subunit ribosomal RNA
Source: RNAcentral
AGCAGCCGCGGUAAUUCCAGCUCCAAUAGCGUAUAUUAAAGUUGCUGCAGUUAAAAAGCUCGUAGUUGAAUUUCGGGACCAAUAUGUCGGUCGUGCCUCGGUACGUACUGGCAUCGUUGGUUUCUCCCUUCUGACGAACCAUGAUGUCAUUUAUUUGGUGUCGUGGGAAAUCAGGACUGUUACUUUGAAAAAAUUAGAGUGUUUAAAGCAGGCUCACGCUUGAAUACAUUAGCAUGGAAUAAUGAAAUAGGACGUUUGAUUCUAUUUUGUUGGUUUCUAGGAUUGACGUAAUGAUUAAUAGGGAUAGUUGGGGGCAUUAGUAUUCAAUUGUCAGAGGUGAAAUUCUUGGAUUUAUUGAAGACUAACUACUGCGAAAGCAUUUGCCAAGGAUGUUUUCAUUAAUCAAGAACGAAAGUUAGGGGAUCGAAGACGAUCAGAUACCGUCGUAGUCUUAACCAUAAACUAUGCCGACUAGGGAUCGGAUGAUGUUAAUUUUUAAUUGACCCAUUCGGCGCCUUAA